UGGGAGGUGACCAUCAAAUUUGCCUGAUGAAUGAACUCAAGAACAGGGAUGACUCGCUUUUGAAGUUUCUGUUUUCUUUCCUGGUUCCAUUCUACUGACCUGGCAGCUUUUCUUUGUCAUUUUUACCUAAUAAUCACUGUUCUCACUGUUGUUGUAUUAUUUGCCUCACUUCAUAUUGCAUUUGGUUUCAUACGCCAUGAACUGCCAUCCAAAAAAUAUACUUUUCACAACAGAGUAAAGAAAACUACUUCCUCCUCAAACAUAAAAUCUUAAAUUAGUUAAUAUCUGGCAAACAUAAGCACAUGAAUACUGGUAUGACUCCGAUAAUAACAUAUCAACGACAUCAUAAGAAGGGUUCCCAACUGUCAGAAGGUGAACUGACGGGGUCAGUAACCGACAGAGGAGUGGGACCGACGGGGUCAGUAACAGACAGAAGAGUGGGACCGGUCCCAAGAAAUGGUUAGUGGUAAUGGCAAACAAGGGACCAAGGAAGUAUAAGUAGGGAGGGAGGUUGGCAAGAGGGGGCAUUCAGGGAGAACGGACCAAGUGGAGAGUGGGAGGAUCUCUCGAAUAUCCUCCAAGGUGAUCAGUCACUCUGACUGGUCAUUUCUACCCUCUGUGUUCUUAUUCUAUUGUACUUGUUUCUCUGUUCUAGGAGUGCUUCCUUUUCAGUUCCAAUUGGUGUUCUACCAAAUACUAAUUGAUUAUAAUACUUGCACUCUUUUCUUCAAGAAAGUGUCAUGCCAUGAGAUAUUAUAGAUACCUUGUGAGGAGACAUAGCCUAGUGCCUUGCCACAUGAGGUCAAAUCGGCAUUUUUUUAUACUUCCUUUCAAUCUAAUACAGCUACUAGAAUCACAAACCAUCCUCAAAAAUAAAUAUAACAUAGGCUACGCUCCUGUUAACAUCAAAUCCGUUUCAAAUAACAAGAUUCAUGUCAGAAAUAACACUCUCCCCGGGGAGCCACCGUUUCGGGUGGCUCUCUCUCCUUCCUUUCAAAAUAAUAAUAAUAAUAAUAAUAAUAAUAAUAAUAAUAAUAACACUCUCCUGAUGUAACCUUUGACUUCCUAAUUAAGUUGGAUGUUCAUCCGUCCAUAUUAUCCCAUAAAUUAUAUCAUAUGAUUUUAUCUUAGUCCUCCUACUGAUCUUGAAAGUCUUGAAUUCAAAAGCAUCCUUCCAUAAUCCCAACCCAAAAUUAAAUCCAAUGAUAUUUAUCUCCUGUAAAAAAAACAACAACUCCAUAAAGACAAUAAGAAAAAAAAUCCUCGAAUAUCCAGGGACCACUCAUCCACCUCAUCCACCUCAAGGAUAGAAAGAUACAAACUUAAAUCAUGCUCAAUAAAAAGCAGCUGAAAUGAAAAAAUAAUCUGCUUCCAGCAUUCAUAUUCAUAUUAGUUGUGCCCAAUCUGUCUGCAUUUUAUAAUGUAUAUAUGAUACUUUUUGGAAGUACUUACUUUUCUAAUAUUUAUCAAAGAGCGUAAAUGAAGAUCUACCAUCUGAGUAAAAAGGUAGAAAAAACCAUGAAAUAGUCCUUUUCGUGAGCAUUAGAAUUUAUUUUAGUUUAAAAAGACAACGAGGAAAAGAAUAUGUGCCAUUCUUGAAGUUAAACUCAGAUAUCUUCUCCCUGCACAUUAAAGAGUGUUAAUGGUGACAGUAUUGCAAUAAAAUCAAAGGAGGAAAAGACACAGUAGACAGAACCUUGUAGCCUCAGUGAAUUAUUAGCCUUAGGACGUCUGGACAGACAUAUGUAUGCAUACAUACAUACAGAUAAUACCAGAAGGAAUGUUUCCCCAGAUCUCCCGGAAAAAUUUAUCAAGGAUCAUUAAAACGUGGAUCAAAGAUUGAAUUUUAACAUAAACAUGGAUCAUAGUACCCGCUGAGUUUUUAGGAUAAAGGGGAAAUUAAUAUUUCAGUCUCAUGUUUCUUAGUCAUAAUACAAAAACAUGAACCUUGUUUCAACAUGAGAUGUUAAAAGAGAAAAACGACGGCUGUAGGACAUAGAUACGUGAAUUUCAAGAAAAAAUAAUGCCAAUGGAGUUUCAUGACUUGAUUGGACACUCGCGGGCAGUCCGUAGGAAUGUGUACGCGCUACAUGUCUUAUCAUUCUGUGGUGCGUGUACUCUCCGUACACUGUAUUAUUUGAUUUUUAUAAGAAGAUCACAGAAGCACUCAUAAAAGACGAAGAACAGACCAAAAUAAUUUAAUUCUCCGAUUAACGCAUCGAUUGAGUCCUUGAAACAUACCGGUGUCCCUAGCAAGACAUUUGUGAUGCUCGAGACCCUCCACUCGAGAUGAACCCUGAGAGAAAGUACGCUCUUUAUGAGAACGAAACCGGUAAAUUCAGCUGAGCAAAGAGCAUGCACUCUCCAUGGAAGAGCUCGGAAACGCGGUCGGAGGAAGCCAUGAUUUCAGAACACAGAUCGCCCCGGCGGAGCAAAUGAAAAGCAGGGGGCAGAAUCGGCGAGCAGAGGAGAAAAGAGGUGGGCAGGGGCAGCGGGCAUUACCCUGCGAAAGAAGAUCUGCAGGCGAUCAUCAGCGUCCAGCCCCAGGGGCUCCGACCGACCCGCAGCAGCCAGUAGGCGGGAGUCCUUCCGAAGCCGUUGCUCGCGGUAGUUCGUGAACCUUCAUCACCUCCUCGUUUCACUUAUUUACGAC
Molecule: long non-coding RNA, 2653 nt
Filed under: Spirodela polyrhiza (greater duckweed)
Lineage: Eukaryota; Viridiplantae; Streptophyta; Magnoliopsida; Alismatales; Araceae
Description: long non-coding RNA (SPOL_LNC001651)
Source: RNAcentral